UGGCUCAGGAUGAACGCUGGCGGCGUGCUUAAUACAUGCAAGUCGAACGAAGCACCUGCGACGGAUCCCUUCGGGGUGAAGAUGCUGUGACUGAGUGGCGGACGGGUGAGUAACGCGUGGGUAACCUGCCUUAUGCAGGGGGACAACAGUUGGAAACGACUGCUAAUACCGCAUAAGCGCACGGCACCGCAUGGUGCAGUGUGAAAAGAUUUAUCGGCAUAAGAUGGACCCGCGUCUGAUUAGGUAGUUGGUGAGGUAACGGCCCACCAAGCCGACGAUCAGUAGCCGACUUGAGAGAGUGAUCGGCCACAUUGGGACUGAGACACGGCCCAGACUCCUACGGGAGGCAGCAGGUAGGGAAUAUUGCACAAUGGGGGGAACCCUGAUGCAAGCGACGCCGCGUGAGUGAUGAAGUAUUUCGGUACGUAAAGCUCUAUCAGCAGGGAAGAUAAUGACGGUACCUGACUAAGAAGCCCCGGCUAACUACGUGCCAGCCGCCGC
RNAcentral lists this ribosomal RNA (501 nucleotides) under uncultured bacterium. Its description in RNAcentral is "bacterial SSU rRNA". It matches the Rfam family "Bacterial small subunit ribosomal RNA", at positions 20 to 518 of the family's 1533-position model. The record is from RNAcentral.